Long non-coding RNA from Malania oleifera, 511 nucleotides. RefSeq lists it as uncharacterized. The transcript is spliced from 2 exons. NCBI's taxonomy places the organism in Eukaryota, Viridiplantae, Streptophyta, Magnoliopsida, Santalales, Ximeniaceae. The record is from RefSeq and is a predicted model, not a curated record.
UUUUUGCUUUUAUCCUUUUUCUAUCUAUCUUCCUUUUUUGCAUUCUCUGUUUCUUCUCUCGAUAAAUUCUUCUUUUGUGAAAAUAAACUAAAAUGGAGGGGUGGCAUUUUCUCAAUUGCUGUUUUUGAUGCUUGUGCUGAGGAGUCUAGCAAUGGAGGAUUGCAGUUAUUAGUUCAAAUCAAAUAUAUGGAAGAGACUGCGCUGGCGGCAAUUUGGUGGGAGUGUGGAGUAUUUGGGAGGAAAUCAAUAAUAGGGCCUUCUACAUUUCCAAUGUUGGUAUGCCGAUCGUUAAAGCUUUUAAGAAUUGAGUAUGCUGGAUGAUGUUGAAGAGUUUGAAUGAAGCUCCAUCUAGACUCGUGUGCUGUGUAUUGGGGAUUAGGUGUUUUAGAUUGUUUUUGGUUGCUAGCUGUUGGUUGACUUGGUUAUGGGCUGUUCCUGUUACUGUUCCCCACUUUUCCUCUGUAAUAUACUUCUGGUAUGCAAUAAAUUUGUUUCUUGUUGCCUCACAAAA